AUACGUAGGGGACAAGCGUUAUCCGGAUUUACUGGGUGUAAAGGGAGCGUAGGCGGCCAGCCAAGUCAGAAGUGAAAUCCCACGGCUCAACUGUGGGCGUGCUUUUGAAACUGGAGGGCUUGAGUACUGGAGGGGCAAGCGGAAUUCCUAGUGGAGCGGUGAAAUGCGUAGAUAUUAGGAGGAACACCAGUGGCGAAGGCGGCUUUCUGGACUGUAACUGACCCUGAGGCAUGAAGGCGUGGGUAGCAAAAAGGAUUAGAUACCCUGGUAGUCCACGCCGUAAACGAUGGGUACUAGGUGUAGGAGGUAUCGACCCCUUCUGUGCCGUCGUUAACACAAUAAGUACCCCGCCUGGGGAGUACGGUCGCAAGACUAAAACUCAAAUGAAUUGACGGGG
This 397-nucleotide ribosomal RNA is filed under the name uncultured bacterium. RNAcentral's name for it is "partial 16S ribosomal RNA". It matches the Rfam family "Bacterial small subunit ribosomal RNA", at positions 523 to 918 of the family's 1533-position model. The record is from RNAcentral.